UACGGAGGGUGCAAGCGUUAUCCGGAUUUACUGGGUUUAAAGGGUGCGUAGGUGGAUUUGUAAGUCAGAGGUGAAAUCUCCGAGCUUAACUCGGAAACUGCCUUUGAUACUAUAAGUCUUGAAUUAUCUGGAGGUAAGCGGAAUAUGUCAUGUAGCGGUGAAAUGCUUAGAUAUGACAUAGAACACCAAUUGCGAAGGCAGCUUACUGGGGAUAGAUUGACGCUGAGGCACGAAAGCGUGGGGAUCAGACAGG
RNAcentral lists this ribosomal RNA (253 nucleotides) under uncultured bacterium. RNAcentral's name for it is "partial 16S ribosomal RNA". It matches the Rfam family "Bacterial small subunit ribosomal RNA", at positions 524 to 776 of the family's 1533-position model. The record is from RNAcentral.